Long non-coding RNA from Nerophis ophidion (straightnose pipefish), 276 nucleotides. RefSeq lists it as uncharacterized. The record is from RefSeq and is a predicted model, not a curated record. The transcript has 2 exons. NCBI's taxonomy places the organism in Eukaryota, Metazoa, Chordata, Actinopteri, Syngnathiformes, Syngnathidae.
CCUGUUCACCUGCUCAGAGCGCGUGCUUAAAAUGUUUGAGCUUCAGACAGUCAGCCCUUUUUGACAUCCUGCUGAGAGGAAGGAAGACAGCUCUUGUGUGGACUCAGAAGACGCAACUGGCUGCAUGCUGCUGCGUGUUCUUACUUGAGCUCAUCCUCCUCAAUGAACCCGCUCUUGUCCUGAUCGAUGAUGGCGAACGCCUUCUUCAAGUCGUCGAUGGACUUGUGGGCCAGGCCGCAGGCGCUGAAGAACUUCUUGUGGUCGAACGAUCCGGCA